UCAUGGAAGACACAUUGGCAUAACACCUACAUACACAUUCCAACAGAGAUCUAAGCCAUUUUUAGAAGCCAUUAAAGCCAUUACAUUUAGUUCUGCAUAACUGGGUAUAUGAUAGCACUAGGCUCUUCAAAUACUAAUAGUGCAUCAUAAAUCAACAUGUUGUUGUGUCAAAAUCCAUUUGAUUAAGCUAACAAUAUUCAAGGGCUUGCUAAAGGGUUAACCUGCACCAGAUGACCAGGGAAAUAAUAUCCCUUUGAACCAAGCUAAAAGUCC
Molecule: long non-coding RNA, 273 nt
Filed under: Lathyrus oleraceus (garden pea)
Lineage: Eukaryota; Viridiplantae; Streptophyta; Magnoliopsida; Fabales; Fabaceae
Description: Pisum sativum (pea) long non-coding RNA (PSAT_LNC028763)
Source: RNAcentral